CAGAGUGUGGCCUAUAUUACAUCAGGCCAUAAUGCAAAUGAUUCUCUGUUAUCUUCAUCUUUUGCAGCUAUUAAUUUUUUGACUUUUGAUCAUUACUAUUUCUGUUUUUACUGUAGACUUCUACAUUUCAAUAAAACACCUUGUGCGUUGUUAAGUAAGAAGCAGUAUGUAAAUAGUUUAAUGACAUUUUGCCCUCUUGGAAGCUACACUUCCCCAUUCAUUUUGUUUAUCAGAAGCCAUCUGAGAAUGCUGCAAAUUGCAAUCAUAGGAUACUGGAUGCUGCAACUGUCAUAAGGGUGAGCCAUUUGUCAAGUUCCUGGAUCAUGAUCAUGUGACUGCAGUGAUGCUGUGACAGUCAUAAGUGUGAGGAUCAAUCAUAAGUCACAUUUUUCAGCAUCGUUGUAAUUCUAAAUGGUCGCUAAAUUAACAGUCAUAAGUCAAGGUAUGUACUUGUACUUCUUUUAUCUUAUUCUGCUUUUUCUUUUUUCUUUUGUUUUUUCCUUAUGAUUCAUUUAUUAGUUGUAUUAAUUGUGUUAAAUGUUUAUAUUAUAUGCACUUAAUGACCAAACUUUCAGAGACAUACAAAUAUGCAGAAAUCAAUAGCAUCAAUUUUAAAUUUCUCAAUAGCACAAAUAGAAGUUAAGAGAAAGCAAAAGCUAUAUGCAUUAUUAAAGUACAUAAAAUAAAAUUGCAAGAAAAUAAGAAAAAUCACCUAAUGCUUAAAAAGAAAAAAAAAAAAAACCAAACAC
Long non-coding RNA from Crotalus tigris (Tiger rattlesnake), 749 nucleotides. RefSeq lists it as uncharacterized. NCBI's taxonomy places the organism in Eukaryota, Metazoa, Chordata, Lepidosauria, Squamata, Viperidae. The transcript is spliced from 2 exons. The record is from RefSeq and is a predicted model, not a curated record.